Molecule: ribosomal RNA, 253 nt
Filed under: uncultured bacterium
Lineage: Bacteria
Description: partial 16S ribosomal RNA
Rfam family: Bacterial small subunit ribosomal RNA
Source: RNAcentral
UACGUAGGGUGCAAGCGUUGUCCGGAAUUAUUGGGCGUAAAGAGCUCGUAGGCGGUCUGUCGCGUCUGCUGUGAAAAUCCAGGGCUCAACCCUGGACCUGCAGUGGGUACGGGCAGACUAGAGUGCGGUAGGGGAGAUCGGAAUUCCUGGUGUAGCGGUGAAAUGCGUAGAUAUCAGGAAGAACAUCGGUGGCGAAGGCGCUCUGCUGGACCAUAACUGACACUCAGGGACGAAAGCUAGGGGAGCGAAUGGG